GGAGAGGUGUCCGAGUGGCUGAAGGAGCGCGCUUGGAAAGCGCGUGUACGAUAAGUACCGGGGGUUCGAAUCCCCCCCUCUCCG
RNAcentral lists this transfer RNA (84 nucleotides) under Bacteroidota bacterium. RNAcentral describes it as "Bacteroidetes bacterium (marine metagenome) tRNA-Ser". It matches the Rfam family "tRNA". Rfam says of the family: Transfer RNA (tRNA) molecules are approximately 80 nucleotides in length. Their secondary structure includes four short double-helical elements and three loops (D, anti-codon, and T loops). RNAcentral also lists the same sequence under 2 other names. The record is from RNAcentral. Lineage: Bacteria; Pseudomonadati; Bacteroidota.